AGCUAGAGUUUGAUCCUGGCUCAGGACGAACGCUGGCGGCGUGCCUAACACAUGCAAGUCGAACGAGAAUCAUUGGAACGGAGAUUCGUCGAAGGGAAGAUGAGGACAGUGGCGGACGGGUGAGUAACGCGUGAGCAACCUGCCCUUCGAGGGGGACAACAGCUGGAAACGGCUGCUAAUACCGCAUGACAUAUUCGGGAGGCAUCUCUUGAAUAUCAAAGAUUUAUCGCCGAAGGAUGGGCUCGCGUCUGAUUAGCUGGUUGGUGGGGUAACGGCCUACCAAGGCGACGAUCAGUAGCCGGACUGAGAGGUUGAACGGCCACAUUGGGACUGAGAUACGGCCCAGACUCCUACGGGAGGCAGCAGUGGGGAAUAUUGGGCAAUGGGGGCAACCCUGACCCAGCAACGCCGCGUGAAGGAAGAAGGCUUCGGGUUGUAAAGCUCUGUUAUAGGGGACGAAGGAAGUGACGGUACCCUAUAAGGAAGCCCCGGCUAACUACGUGCC
This 505-nucleotide ribosomal RNA is filed under the name uncultured organism. RNAcentral describes it as "SSU rRNA". It matches the Rfam family "Bacterial small subunit ribosomal RNA", at positions 1 to 509 of the family's 1533-position model. The record is from RNAcentral.